CAUCGUCCUCUAGUCCCCAGCAAUUAACGUGAUGCCUGGCACAUGGCUGGCAUUAACGCAGACGCUCAAAACCAUCCCAUGCUGCCCCCUGGGACACGAGCCCAGCACUCUUCAUCUGGGAUCUCUCCCUCUUCACUUGGGUUUCUAUCUUCUGCAAAGAGUUGCUUCUGAGGCAAUGAAGGCCUUGGCUCCGUGUGGUCAGGGAGAUGUGUGGAGCUCAACAAUGGAAAAUUCCUCAGUUAAUAUCACCAAAUUUCAUUCCGGCAUAUGUAAUAUGGGACCAAUUAUGUACCCAUGUCUUCAGAUUGUUAUGAGGAUUUGAUGAGAUAAUCCAUGAGAAACCUUUAACACACUGCUUGGCAUGUAGAAAGGGCUCAGUAAAUGUUGCCUGUUAUUGUUAUUACUUCCACCAUCACGCUGCUCAUUGCUUUCCACUGGGAAAGGAAAAUAGACUCCUGGAUUCACUGUCCCUGCCCGUGAACAGAGGUGGUUUUGGAAGCCAUGGGAGCACCCAGUGACCUUCUCCUCAAACUCGGCUUCUCUGAAUUAGACCAGGCCAAGGUGAAUGCUCAUAUGUAGCACAUGGAAACCCAGGCGUGCUGGCUCAGCUUUGGAGCAGUGGAAGCAACUAGAAGCUACUGGAGGAAGCUGAUCAACCAUACAGCCUCCCAGGUCCUGGCAUCUGACCCAAGUAUCAGCCUACCAGUAUUGCCACCUGCUGACACAUUUACGUGGUAACAGAUUAUGAGAGGUUUGACAAAGAUCCUGAAUGUCUUAUCCACAAUGGUACAAACCACUUGGAGUGGAAGGAAACACUAUAUGGAAAUUGCCAUCUGCCCAAGCAGCCUGAUUAGAUGACAUCUGCAGACCUCCAUAGAACCAGCUGAUACAUUCACCCUUUCCUGGAAGUCUGGAUUAUACAACCCCAUUACAAGCUGGUGGAAGGCAAACUGUGAAGGUGAUGAAGGUCUUCAGACGAGAUAAAAAGAGCAUGUGGUCUGCAGUCCAGCAGAGCCCUCUCAGUAUUGGUUUCAUUGCAUCUGAUUGAUUGAUUGAUUGAUUGAUUGAGACAAAGUCUCACU
This is a long non-coding RNA of Saimiri boliviensis boliviensis (Bolivian squirrel monkey), 1082 nucleotides long. RefSeq lists it as uncharacterized. Lineage: Eukaryota; Metazoa; Chordata; Mammalia; Primates; Cebidae. The record is from RefSeq and is a predicted model, not a curated record.